RNAcentral lists this long non-coding RNA (2800 nucleotides) under Homo sapiens (human). RNAcentral describes it as "HSALNT0145174". The record is from RNAcentral. Lineage: Eukaryota; Metazoa; Chordata; Mammalia; Primates; Hominidae.
AACUGCUCCUUCCUUCCUCUUCUCCUGUUGGCAGGCUCUGUGCUGCUGCGUCCCUGUCCCUGGAACAAGCAGCCUGUUCGUUCCGGGCCCCCACACACCAGACCCUCCUCCUUCCUCCUUCCUCCUUCCUGCCUCCUGCCUCAGCGCCUCCCAGUCCAGCCUCCAAGGAAAGUUCUGUAUUUUUCCAGCCAGUCUGGCCUAGCUGCACAGGCGUCCCUUCAGGGCCGGUGGGGUCACGAGAGCCCAGGCCUCCACCGACCAUGGGCAGACAAGGGACAUGCGCUCCUCACCACCGCCACCCCAGCCAUGCACGGAAGGGGAAAUCGAGGUCCAGAGAGGGCCAGGGAUUAGCCUGAGCCACACAGCAAGGAAGGCCAGAGCCACGGCAGGAAGUGUGUCUGGGGUCUCUGGGGUCUUGGGGAGACCUCCAACCUCCCAGAGGUGUCCCAUGGACACUUCCAUUUCCUGUGUGACUGUAGGUGAGUUCCCUAAGCCUCCACGCCCUCUCUGGCCUCAGUUUCCUCACUGAGGCAGUGCUCCCAGGAAGCUCCAGCUCCGCCCUGCCCCGUCGGUGCGGUGAUCAGUCAUUCCGUCAACAAAAGUGCCCGAGACAGGCUUGGCAGGUACUAAGCCAGAUGGAGGCAUGACCCUGGGAGGGGGUGGAGUGCAAAGAGGUGCAGAGCACCCCAUAAAAUAAGGGGUUGGGCAUCACCAUGCCCCCUGCAGGCUUUGCCACCCAUCAGCACCAGCAAGUCGCCCCACCCAGAGCUCUGCAAAGAACACCGCCAGCUCUUUCCUUCCGGGUGCUCUUGCUGGGGGGUCAGGCUGGUCCCCUCUGACUGGCACUGCCCACGCUGGGACAUGGGAGGAGGGCCAUCUGGGCACUGCAGGAGCAGAUCCUGGGUGCACAUGGGGAGACAGGUGUGCUGGCAGGAACAGCAGGCGGGGCUGAGCUCAGGAGGCGCCUCACAGCGGGUGCCUCCAGCCUGGUCUGAGCACGGGAUGAAGAACCAGGCACCGCUCAUCGUGCAUCUCCACAAGGCACUGUGUGACUUCAUGCAAGCCGCUCAACCUCUCUGGCCCCACGUCCUUGUCCACAGGGGCAGAGUGGACUGAAUGGAGGCUGAGGUCCCUCUCAGCUUGGGUGGUGUGGCAGAGGGUGAGGAGGAGCCCAUGGGCCCUGGAUCACCAGCCUCCCUCCACCCAGAAUGCCCCGUCCACUCCACUGCCCACCACCCUCUGUGCAAUUGACAAACGUCCUGGUGUUAACGCCUAAGCAUAAAGAGUCGGCUUUGCUGUAAGUGUUGUCUGAACCUGGGCCCAACGUCACCGCCUCCAGGAAGCCUUCCUGACCUCCUCGUUCCAUGUUGAUUGAGUCUUCUGCGUGCCUUGGCCUCCCCUGUGUGUGCUACCAGAGGAGCCCCUGAGCACAAAUGCAGUCUUCCUGCAUGUCUCUGUGUGUGUGUGUGCAUGUGUGUGAGUGUACGAGUGUGUGUGUGACUGUGUGUGUAUGUGAGUGUGUGUGUGAGUGGGUGGGCCAGGGUACCCGUCUCUUGCACACCUACUGGGGUGUGCCCUGAGCUUGCCCUGGGCACACGGAACCUGGUUCUGGCUCCAUUGGAGAUGCUCUGACCCCCGAGGUGUGGAGGCCAGCAGUGGGCAGUGCCAGCCAGGCUGCCAGCAACCCCAGCUCACUUCCGGAGCCAUAAAAGGAGAGACGCUGAGAAUAGCGCGGCUGUGACGCGCCCAGGAGCUCCUCACGCAUGCAGACUCUGCACCACCCGCCCGCCCGCCUGCUCUCUGAGGUGCUGGCCUGAAGGGCCCCCCGCCCAGCCCCAGCCCUACCAGGAUUGGACAACCUGGGACCCCGGCUGGGAGGUCAGGAGCCAGGGGUCAUGCAGCCCUGCCUUGGCUCCCGUAUGACACCGCAGGCUGCUGUGCUCCUGGGAUUUGGCAUCACCAUCCCCUGCUCCCAGGCCCUGGGCCUCACGAGGGCACAGCACCACGGGAGGGGCAGGCAGCAGAGGGCGGCGGGAGGCACCCCUGUCCCAAGAGGUCCCGGCCCUGCCUAGUGGCCCUUUAGGCUCCCACAAAUUCCCAGGGACCCUUCCUGAGGCAGAGGGAGUUGGCUCUGCACUGGACAUGGCUCGGGGCUCACAGAUGGGGACAGUCAUUGCCUACUGAGCGCCAGCAGGUGCUGGGAGUUGGGUCAGCUUCUCUCCAAGGUCUUGCCUUCCCUAGGAGAUGAGGGAGAUGCUGAGACCCAGAGGGCAGAGCCUCCUCCUCGCCAGGUCCCAGCACCACAUCCCCAGACACCAUGGGUGCCCGCAUCUGCCCUGAGCACCCCCAGCUCACUCAUGAGGCUCAGCAGUGGGGAGUGUGAUGGGACACAGGGCUGGCGGCUUGGGUGGUCACGCUGGUCCCUGAGCUCAGAGGAGCCGUGCCGGGUUUAGCACUGUGCGAUUUUGAUUCAUUUUUGGACAAAGGGCCUCUGUUUUCAUUUUGUGCUGGGCCCCAGCCAUUAUGCCACUGGUCCCUCCUACCAGGGUCUCCUUCCUGGUCCUAGGGUGGGGGUGGGGAGCCCACUGUGCUGUGUGUUUCUGGAAAAGCAGGUGGCAGCAGAGGUCCUGUGGUGAGACAAGGAGGGCCCUGCUGUGUGCCGGGCACCUUGCUGAGUCUCAGAACAGCCGGGAGGGUGAUCAGUGUCACCCCACUUUACAGAUGAGGAAACUGAGGCACAGAGAAGGCAAGGGGUAUGCCGGGGAACCCGGGCCAUAGUGAAUGACCGAGCUGCGAUUUG